UGUAUUGGUAUUUGGCAGGGGCGCGGGUGGGAUGGAGAGGUCCCCUGCCACCGCCGGGGCGGCGUUCCAAGCCCCUCGGACAUCUGGGGUGCCCCGGCGCUUUCCCGUGCCGGGGCCCGGUGCCUCAGCCCCUCCUUACCCAUCCCAAAGCCAUCCCACCCCAGUGCUGGCCUGUGUCCCGCCGAGCUGGCAAGCGAAAACGUGCCCAGGUCGAGCCCCAAAGGCGGGUGCCGCAGCCCCGGCACGGCUGGUCCCGCAGGGAGGGGGGCGAGGGGCCGAUCUGCCGGGACGGGCGCACCCCGAGCGCACUGCGGGCCCAGCACCCCCGGCCGAGGGGCUCCUCGAGGGGCCCUUGAACCCCCCCAGCGCUCUGCCCCGUACCAGCCUCCAGCAGGGCCGGUGGCACUCGCGGCUGCCACGCACGGUUGCUUGCCAGCAGCAAACAGCAUGAGAUGAUGUCCUCUGGGCAAAGAGGGAGGAGUGGCUGAUGAAUCUCAAUAAAGCUGGGAAGACUAACCACUGGGAAGCUGAUGCAGAAUUUGAGCUGAAGUAUACAACCCACACCUUUACUUUUCUUUCAUGGACUAAUGUCAGCCAGGGAGGAAUUUGCAGGGCUGUAGUCCAACCCCCUGCUCAAAGCUGGACAGGCUUCAAAAUCUGAUGAAGUUGCUCAGUGCCUUGCCCAGAUGGACUUCUUGCUGCAACCUGUGACCCUAGACACAUGUCCUUGCAUCCUGCACCUUGUUUGGCUCUGUGCUUUCCAGCAGUUACUCUCCACAGCACACCCCACGUACCAGGCACACCAUGAUCAGUGAGGAGUGUUCUCCAGCAGACAGCUGUGGGCAGGGGCUCAGAGAUGGCACCACAGCUGGGACUGUGCCACCACACAAGGCUUAAACCCCAGGACUGGGCACUUUACCUACUUGCACCCAGGCAUUUGAUGCUGCCCCCAGAAACAUGGCACUCCUGGAGGGUACCCAGAUUGUCACGCUGCUGCACCACACACCACUUUCCCUGUUCUCACAGCACUGAAAACACUUCUGUAAAGAUGUGCAAAGCAGAGGCUGGAACUCUUAAAACAAAUUAACACAACACGAUCUGGACUGGCCUUCAGAAAAAACACAGUAAGCUUUUAGGUGCAGGAGCUGCCAGGCAGAGCACUGGGACCAGAAGUUAGGAGUCCCUUAUGCCUCUAAGCUCUUUCUGCAGGCAGGGAGAGACAAUUUUGUAUUUGCUUCUUAAAUAAACUGGGCACCUCUCCAA
This is a long non-coding RNA of Falco peregrinus (peregrine falcon), 1263 nucleotides long. RefSeq lists it as uncharacterized. The record is from RefSeq and is a predicted model, not a curated record. The transcript is spliced from 3 exons. NCBI's taxonomy places the organism in Eukaryota, Metazoa, Chordata, Aves, Falconiformes, Falconidae.